GAUCAUUACUGAUUUGCUUAAUUGCACCACAUGUGUUUUUCUUUGAAACAAACUUGCUUUGGCGGUGGGCCCAGCCUGCCGCCAGAGGUCUAAACUUACAACCAAUUUUUUAUCAACUUGUCACACCAGAUUAUUACUAAUAGUCAAAACUUUCAACAACGGAUCUCUUGGUUCUCGCAUCGAUGAAGAACGCAGCGAAAUGCGAUACGUAAUAUGAAUUGCAGAUAUUCGUGAAUCAUCGAAUCUUUGAACGCACAUUGCGCCCUCUGGUAUUCCGGAGGGCAUGCCUGUUUGAGCGUCGUUUCUCCCUCAAACCGCUGGGUUUGGUGUUGAGCAAUACGACUUGGGUUUGCUUGAAAGACGGUAGUGGUAAGGCGGGAUCGCUUUGACAAUGGCUUAGGUCUAACCAAAAACAUUGCUUGCGGCGGUAACGUCCACCACGUAUAUCUUCAAACUUUGACCUCAAAUCA
This 470-nucleotide unclassified non-coding RNA is filed under the name Candida albicans. RNAcentral describes it as "sequence contains 18S rRNA gene, ITS1, 5.8S rRNA gene, ITS2, 28S rRNA gene". The stretch from base 148 to 301 matches the Rfam family "5.8S ribosomal RNA". Lineage: Eukaryota; Fungi; Ascomycota; Pichiomycetes; Serinales; Debaryomycetaceae. The record is from RNAcentral.